This 29-nucleotide non-coding RNA is filed under the name Rattus norvegicus (Norway rat). Lineage: Eukaryota; Metazoa; Chordata; Mammalia; Rodentia; Muridae. The record is from RNAcentral.
UGUGGCUUAGCACUGCUUCGCUGGUAGUC